CUCGUGGAAAAGGACUUUAAUUUGGGGAGGGGUCCGACUGCCACCCUCAGCCCCCCAUCCUCCCCACACCAAAAUGUCCGAAGGUGGAGAGCGGUGGGAAGAACCCAACGUGAAGAGCAACGGGAAAAGCCAACGUGAAGGGUGAGGUGUGCCACCCAAUGUGGGGCAAUGGGGCACCCAAUGGGGGGCAAUGGGGUAACCAAUGUGGGGCAAUGGGGUAACCAACGUGGGGAAAAUGGGGCAACUAACCUGAGCAAUGGGUCAACCAAUGUAGGGCAAUGGGGCACCCAACAUGGCACAUUGAGGGAACCCUACAUGGGGCACUGGGGCACCCAACGUGGGGCAAUGGGGUAACCAACGUGGGGCAAUGGGGCACCCAAUGGGGGGCAAUGGGGUAACCAAUGUGGGGCAAUGGGGCACCCAACGUGGGCAAUGGGAGAACCAACAUGGCACAAUGGGGCACCCAACGUGGGGAAAAUGGGGCAACUAACCUGAGCAAUGGGUCAACCAAUGUAGGGCAAUGGGGCACCCAACAUGGCACAUUGAGGGAACCCUACAUGGGGCACUGGGGCACCCAACGUGGGGCAAUGGGGCACCCAAUGGGGGGCAAUGGGGUAACCAAUGUGGGGCAAUGGGGUUACCAACGUGGGGCAAUGGGGCACCCAAUGGGGGGCAAUGGGGUAACCAACAUGGGGCAAUGGGGCAACCAACCUGAGCAAUGGGAGAGCCCCAUAUGGGGCAAUGGGGCACCCAACCUGAGCAAUGGGAGAACCAACAUGGCACAAUGGGGCAACCAACCUGAGCAAUGGGACAACCCUAUAUGGGGCAACGGGGCAACCAAGAUGGCGCAAUGGGACACCCAACAUGGGGCAAUGGGGUAACCCUACAUGAGGCAAUGGGACAGCCAACAUGGGGCAAUGGGACAACCCCAUAUGGGGCAAUGGGGCACCCAAUCUGAGCAGUGGGGCAACCAAUGUGGCGCAAUGGGACACCCAACAUGGGGCAAUGGGACAACCAAUGUGGGGCAAUGGGGUAACCCUACAUGAGGCAAUGGGACAGCCAACGUGGGGCAAUGGGGUAACCAACCUGAGCAAUGGGACAACCUUAUAUGGGGCAAUGGGGCAAUCAAGAUGGCGCAAUGGGACACCCAACAUGGGGCAAUGGGGCAACCAGCAUGGGGCAAUGGGGCAAUCAACGUGGGGCAAUGGUGUAACCAAGGUGGGGCAAUGGGAGAACCCUACAUGGGGCACUGGGGCACCCAAUGUGGGGCAAUGAGGUAACCAACCUGAGCAACGGGACAACCCUAUAUGGGGCAACGGGGCAACCAACAUGGCACAAUGGGACACCCAACAUGGGGCAAUGGGACAACCAACGUGGGGCAAUGGGGUAACCCUACAUGAGGCAAUGGGACAGCCAACGUGGGGCAAUGGCAAAACCCCAUAUGGGGCAAUGGGGCACCCAACCUGAGCAAUGAGGUACCCAACAUGGCACAAUGAGAGAACCUUACAUGGGGCAAUGGGGUAACCAACGUGGGGCAGUGGGGUAACCAAUGUGGGGCAGGGGGAGAACCCAACAGAAAGAGCAAUGGGGCACCCAACAUGGGGUAGUGGGAGAACCAACGUGAGGCAAUGGAGCAACCAACCUGAGCAAUGGGGCAACCCUACAUGGGGCAAUGGGGCACCCAACAUGGCGCAAUGGGGUACCCAACCUGAGUAAUGGGGCAACCAACAUGGCGCAAUGGGGCAACCCUACCUGGGGCGAUGGGACAACCAACCUGAGCAAUGGGACACGCAACGUGGGGCAAUGGGAUGACCCCAUACGGGGUAAUGGGACAACCAACAUGGGGCAAUGGGACAACGAACAUGGGGCAAUGGAUGACCCCACAUGGGGCAAUGGGACAACCAACAUGGGGAGAUGGGACGACCAACAUGGGGCGAUGGGAUGACCCCACAUGGGGCGAUGGGACGACCAACAUGGGGCGAUGGGAUGACCCCACAUGGGGCAAUGGGACAACCAACAUGGGGCGAUGGGAUGACCCCACAUGGGGCAAUGGGACAACCAACAUGGGGCGAUGGGAUGACCCCACAUGGGGCGAUGGGACGACCAACAUGGGGCAAUGGGAUGACCCCACAUGGGGCGAUGGGACGACCAACAUGGGGCAAUGGGAUGACCCCACAUGUGGCAAUGGGACAACCAACAUGGGGCGAUGGGACGACCAACAUGGCGCAAUGGAAGAACCCAACAUGGGGCAAUGGGAUGACCCCAUAUGGGGUAAUGGGACAACCAAUAUGGCGCAAUGGGACGACCAGCAUGGGGCGAUGGGAUGACCCCACAUGGGGCGACGGGACAACCAACAUGGGGCAAUGGAAGAACCCUACAUGGGGCAAUGGAAGAACCCUACAUGGGGUGAUGGGACACCCAACCUGAGCAGUGGGGCAAUCCUACACGGGGCAAUGGGACGACCCUACAUGGGGAAUGGGACAACCAACAUGGGGCAAUGGGGCAACCAAUGUGGGGCAAUGGGAAAACCCCAUAUGGGGCAAUGGGGCACUCAGUGUGGGGCAAUGGGAGGACCCAACAUGGGGCAAUGGGGCAACCAACGUGGCGCAAUGGGACAACCCUACAUGGGGCGAUGGGACAACCAACCUGAGCAAUGGGACACGCAACGUGGGCAAUGGGAUGACCUCAUACGGGGUAAUGGGACAACCAACAUGGGGCAAUGGGACAACGAACAUGGGGCAAUGGGAUGACCCCACAUGGGGCAAUGGGACAACCAACAUGGGGCAAUGGGAUGACCCCACAUGGGGCAAUGGGACAACCAACAUGGGGUGAUGGGACAACUAACGUGGCACAAUGGAAGAACCCAACAUGGGGCAAUGGGAUGACCCCUUAUGGGGUAAUGGGACAACCAAUAUGGCGCAGUGGGACGACAUGGGGCGAUGGGAUGACCCCACAUGGGGCGAUGGGACAACCAACAUGGGGCGAUGGGACAACCAACAUGGGGCGAUGGGAUGACCCCACAUGGGGCGAUGGGACAACCAACAUGGGGCGAUGGGACAACCAACAUGGGGCAAUGGAAGAACCCUACAUGGGGUGAUGGGACACCCAACCUGAGCAGUGGGGCAAUCCUACAUGGGGCAAUGGGACGACCCUACAUGGGGCAAUGGGGCAACCAACAUGGGGCAAUGGGGCAACCAAUGUGGGGCAAUGGGAAAACCCCAUAUGGGGCAAUGGGGCACUCAAUGUGGGGCAAUGGGAAAACCCCAUAUGGGGCAAUGGGGCACUCAAUGUGGGGCAAUGGGAGGACCCAACAUGGGGCAAUGGGGCAACCAAUGUGGGGCAAUGGGGCACCCAACGUGAGCAAUGGGGCAACCAACGUGGCGCAAUGGGACAACCCUACAUGGGGCGAUGGGAGAACCAACAUGGGGCAAUGGGAUGACCCAACACAAAGAGGAAUGGGGAAACCCAAUGAGAGGAGGAAUGGGAUAACCUAAAACAAAGAGCAAUGGGGAACCCCAAUGAGAAGAGCCAUGGGAUAACCUAAAACAAAGAGGAAUGGGAAACCCC
This is a long non-coding RNA of Gallus gallus (chicken), 3567 nucleotides long. The record is from Ensembl. NCBI's taxonomy places the organism in Eukaryota, Metazoa, Chordata, Aves, Galliformes, Phasianidae.